CCUACGGGCGGCUGCAGUCGAGAAUCAUUCACAAUGGGGGAAACCCUGAUGGUGCGACGCCGCGUGGGGGAAUGAAGGUCUUCGGAUUGUAAACCCCUGUCAUGUGGGAGCAAAUUAAAAAGAUAGUACCACAAGAGGAAGAGACGGCUAACUCUGUGCCAGCAGCCGCGGUAAUACAGAGGUCUCAAGCGUUGUUCGGAAUCACUGGGCGUAAGGCGUGCGUAGGCUGUUUCGUAAGUCGUGUGUGAAAGGCGCGGGCUCAACCCGCGGACGGCACAUGAUACUGCGAGACUAGAGUAAUGGAGGGGGAACCGGAAUUCUCGGGGUAGCAGUGAAAUGCGUAGAUAUCGAGAGGAACACUCGUGGCGAAGGCGGGUUCCUGGACAUUAACUGACGCUGAGGCACGAAGGCCAGGGGAGCGAAAGGGAUUAGAUACCCGUGUAGUC
Molecule: ribosomal RNA, 446 nt
Filed under: uncultured bacterium
Lineage: Bacteria
Description: partial 16S ribosomal RNA
Rfam family: Bacterial small subunit ribosomal RNA
Source: RNAcentral